Molecule: long non-coding RNA, 996 nt
Filed under: Gouania willdenowi (blunt-snouted clingfish)
Lineage: Eukaryota; Metazoa; Chordata; Actinopteri; Blenniiformes; Gobiesocidae
Description: lncRNA (ENSGWIG00000023823.1)
Source: RNAcentral
GUACGGGAACAUGCCUGGAAGAUCUGCCUUUAUUUGUCUGUGAUGGAUCAGAGAAGUUUUUUCUAAAAUGUCUGGUGCAGUAAAAUGAUAAACUCCAUACAGAGCCGAGGCAGUAAUGUGCCAUAGUGUGCUGUUUUCUCACAGAAGAAGACGACACACUUCUGUUUCCUGUAGCCAAUGCUGCUACAGCCUGAGCUAGCAAUGGAAAACAAAGAAGCAGAGACCAUCCAAAAGAUGUUGAACCGCUACACAUCAGAAUCAAAACUUGAGAUGGAUGAAUGCCCUCUGCAGUGGUGGCUGAAGAGAAAGGAUUCCAACGGUCUCAAUUUUUUGGCUGUGUGCAGAAACCAGGCCAGUCCAUUCAAGCGUAUGUUUUGCGCUUGAGGGAGGUCUAUCUUAGGUUGCAUCAACAGGAUAAGGAUGGAGCAUCCACUGACCCUCAUGCUUGGCCUGGAGGAUGGCGCCUUGCUCCGAGCGUUAAAGAGAGCUUUGCGCUUAGACCCUGAAAUUACCUUCAGUGCCCUGCAAAAGGAGGCCCUCCUGGAGGAAGGAGCGCAAAGUCCAAGGCAAAGUGAAGUAACGUGUUCUGUGGUAAGAGACCCUAAUCACUCCAGAUCUCAUCAACAGAAUGACACAUGGAAGCAGGAGUUGAAAAAGGAGAUUGUGGAGGAGCUGAGGGACCAAAUGAAGGACUUUGCUCGUGAGCUCAUCAGAGAGCUAAGACCAGCUAGCCCUACACACGUGUCAGGACACCGUGGCAGCGCCCCCGAGCCUCGCACAGAGGGAUACCUGCAGCCCCACUCCGUUCAGGGUCCCAACAGGCGUGGGGAGAAGCCUUCGCCCUUUACCGGAGAACUGCUGUCUGUACGGAGGAUGGGUUUAGAGGAUAUGUCUGGCCAGCUCAGAGACGAGGAGUCAGGAUCCCCGCUCGAAGUGAGAUUGUUGCCUGUGGACAGGCUCGAGCUGGACCGUCGGGAAGGGACUAUUGUGGCCUGA